UGGGGAAUAUUGCACAAUGGGCGCAAGCCUGAUGCAGCAACGCCGCGUGAGGGAUGACGGCCUUCGGGUUGUAAACCUCUUUUAGCAGGGAAGAAGCGAAAGUGACGGUACCUGCAGAAAAAGCACCGGCUAACUACGUGCCAGCAGCCGCGGUAAUACGUAGGGUGCAAGCGUUGUCCGGAAUUAUUGGGCGUAAAGAGCUCGUAGGCGGUCUGUCGCGUCUGCUGUGAAAUCCCGAGGCUCAACCUCGGGCCUGCAGUGGGUACGGGCAGACUAGAGUGCGGUAGGGGAGAAUGGAACUCCUGGUGUAGCGGUGGAAUGCGCAGAUAUCAGGAAGAACACCGAUGGCGAAGGCAGCUCUCUGGGCCGUAACUGACGCUGAGGAGCGAAAGCGUGGGGAGCGAACAGGAUUAGAUACCCUGGUAGUCCACGCCGUAAACGUUGGGCGCUAGAUGUGGGGACCAUUCCACGGUUUCCGUGUCGCAGCUAACGCAUUAAGCGCCCCGCCUGGGGAGUACGGCCGCAAGGCUAAAACUU
This 537-nucleotide ribosomal RNA is filed under the name uncultured bacterium. Its description in RNAcentral is "partial 16S ribosomal RNA". It matches the Rfam family "Bacterial small subunit ribosomal RNA", at positions 355 to 902 of the family's 1533-position model. The record is from RNAcentral.